ACCUGGCUGGCUCAGUGGAUGGAGCAUGUGACUCGUGAUCUGACAGUCAUGAGUUCAAGCCCCAUGUUAGGCA
This 73-nucleotide transfer RNA is filed under the name Ailuropoda melanoleuca (giant panda). It matches the Rfam family "tRNA". From Rfam's summary of the family: Transfer RNA (tRNA) molecules are approximately 80 nucleotides in length. Lineage: Eukaryota; Metazoa; Chordata; Mammalia; Carnivora; Ursidae. The record is from Rfam by way of RNAcentral.